GGGGCUGAUCGGUUUCGACGUUGGGACCGGGGGCUGCGCUGUGCGACCCGAGUUGCUCAGACUCGCAAAACGGGGCAAACAAAUAACCGACACUGACAGUGUCCCUCUCGCAGCCUGAUCCGUCAGGUGUAGAGAGUCAUCGCGACCGGCAACGGCACGCGGGGCCAGUCCAUCGCAGCCCGGCAACAGAAGCGUUGGAGACGGUAGGGACAGACCACUGACGGCGGGAAAGACCGCUGACUCCGGGGAACAGUCCCGGUGGCAGGCCCCCUAGCGGGGCCGUCCGACCCGGCGGUGCCGCUGCCAUCGACGCCGCAAACCGGGAAUGGUCGUAUCACAGUCAGACACCGCCCAGCGGACGGGGGUUCGAUUCCCCCCAGCUCCACUU
Molecule: transfer-messenger RNA, 388 nt
Filed under: bacterium
Lineage: Bacteria
Rfam family: transfer-messenger RNA
About the family: Bacterial tmRNA, also known as 10Sa RNA or SsrA, is named for its dual tRNA and mRNA-like properties. Its role is to liberate the mRNA from a stalled ribosome.
Source: RNAcentral